Molecule: ribosomal RNA, 349 nt
Filed under: Benthosema pterotum (skinnycheek lanternfish)
Lineage: Eukaryota; Metazoa; Chordata; Actinopteri; Myctophiformes; Myctophidae
Description: partial 12S ribosomal RNA
Rfam family: Bacterial small subunit ribosomal RNA
Source: RNAcentral
CGAUAGGUCUCUUCAACGCCUAUUCGCCAGGGGACUACAAGCAUUAGCUUCAAACCCAAAGGACUUGGCGGUGCUUUAGACCCACCUAGAGGAGCCUGUCCUAGAACCGAUAACCCCCGUUCAACCUCACCACUUCUUGCCCAGCCCGCCUAUAUACCGCCGUCGUCAGCUUACCCUGUGAAGGACUGAUAGUAAGCUAAAUUGGCACAGCCCCAAACGUCAGGCCGAGGUGUAGCCUACGAAGUGCGCAAGAGAUGGGCUACAUUUUCUGACCCAGAAAACCACGAAAGAGAAUCUGAAACAAAUCUCCGAAGGAGGAUUUAGCAGUAAGCAGGGAAUAGAGAGCCCU